Heterocephalus glaber (naked mole-rat) is the source of this 1844-nucleotide non-coding RNA. NCBI's taxonomy places the organism in Eukaryota, Metazoa, Chordata, Mammalia, Rodentia, Bathyergidae. The record is from RefSeq and is a predicted model, not a curated record.
GCCAUCCAAAUGCCCAUUGCUUGUUAAUGGAUUCAUGGAACUGCCACGCAAUAGGAACAGCUCAGCAGUAAAGAACAACUACUGAUACACCCUGCAGCACGACCAGUACAUGCUAGAAAAGCUUCCGGAUGCUCUGUGUGGCGAUGAGAUCUCCUCUGCCUCCAGACCUCACAGCACCUGGUGCAGGGUGAGAAAGCAGCAGGUCUGUGAGGAAGGCAUUGUUCUCCCCUUUGACAAGCGAGGAAACUGAGGCUGAAGAGAAGAUAGAGACUUCUCCAAGACUCUGCUAGGCAAUGGUAUUUCCAGGACACAAACCCAGAUGUGCCUGCCCCCUUAAGGAAGGGGCUGGGCUUCUGAGGCUCCCCAAACUCCAAACACAGCUGUAGAAGCUGACUCUGCCUCACAAGGUGCUCCUUCCAGUCCCAUCCCUGUCAGCCGUCCUGGAGAUUGCUGGUCACUCAUGGCGGGCUCCUGGUGCCACAGUACCUCCAAGAGUUAAAUUUUCUCGGUUUCCUAUCACUGCCAUCUCUGGCAGAGGUGCUCCGGGCUGGCUGGGUGACCACGGCAGGGCACCAUCUCCUGCUAUGUGCCCCGCUGCCCUCAGCCCCUGCAGCCAGUGCUGCACAGCCUGCCCACCUCUGUGUUCUCACCCUGGCCUGGGCCCUUUUCCCCCUCCUUCCAGCCUGCCUGGGGCCUCACCAGCUGUGCCUGGACAGCUAGAUUAGAAGUGGCUGCUAUGUCUAAUCCUUACCCUGGAGUCUAAGCUAUAUUUCUUCAUCCCUAGCUCCCAAGGCCCUGGUCAAAAUCAGUAAGUUGCUAGCCAUGGUGGCAUACACCUAUAGUCCCAGCACUCAAGAGGCUGAGACAGGAGGAUUGCUGUGAGUUUGAGGGCAGCCUGGGCUACAUAGUGAGUUCAAGCCCAGCCCGAACUACAUAGCAAGAUCCUGCCUCAAAAACCAAAACCAAAACCCCCCCAAAAUCAGCAAGUUUCUUGCAAGACUCCUCAUGUCUAGCAGUCUGCUGACUCCUGUAGGCUGUAUUAUGUCUGGAAAAUCUUUUUCCAAUUCCCCAUUCAGAGAUCUCCAACCUCUCUAAUGCCCUGGGCACGGCAGAUCCUAUAGGGGUGUGCUCUGGAGCUCACCUCCAGUUGCAGGCACGCCAUGAUUGAAUUAAACAUUAAAGUAUACAUUCAGUGUUGUAACACUGCUGCUUCUCCAACUAUGACCUCUUUGGGGCUGAGUGUGUUGCUUGGGUGUACUGCAUUGUAGACACAGGGCUACCUGGAGCUACCUGAGGUGUGACUUAAGUGGAGAAGGCUGGAAGUUUUUAUGGGAGGCUGUGAAACUUCUCUCCCCAUAGAUAUCUGUCAAGGAAUGUGGGAGCAAUUACCAGAGCUCAGAAGGCACAGCAGAGCUCCAUGCACUUUUGACACAACAUGGCCCAAUGACUGCCCCAAAGCAUCUCCUGCUAGUUGCCCACCUUCUCGAGGAAGGCAACUCUGAAGAUCUGAAGAUAAAGACCCCAUUUAAAAUGGAAUCUGACUCUAGGAUUCCUGAGCUCUGCUCCUCUGUCUGCCCUAUUCCCAGCACCUCAAUCUGAACACGCUAAAGUGUACUUACUAUGCUCAUUGUUUGUUUUCUGUCUCUCUCCACCAAAACUCAACUCCACAAUGGCAGGAAGGGACUUAUUUUCUGCUUGGUCCAGGAUGCAUUCCAAGCAUCUAGAGCAAUGUGCACACAGUAGGUACCCAGUAAACAUGUGUUGAAUGAGUAGUGAUGCACCCCUAAAUGUCUGUGGUGGUUUUAAAAUGUGUUCACAAGUUCUGUGACACUACUUUCUCUAAA